CCUACGGGAGACUGCAGUGGGGAAUAUUGGGCAAUGGGCGCAAGCCUGACCCAGCAACGCCGCGUGAAGGAAGAAGGCUUUCGGGUUGUAAACUUCUUUUAAGAGGGAAGAGCAGAAGACGGUACCUCUUGAAUAAGCCACGGCUAACUACGUGCCAGCAGCCGCGGUAAUACGUAGGUGGCAAGCGUUGUCCGGAUUUACUGGGUGUAAAGGGCGUGCAGGCGGGAAGACAAGUCAGAUGUGAAAUCCCUCGGGUUAAACGGGGAAGUGCAUUUGAAAUUGGUUUUCUUGAGUACCGGAGAGGUGAUUGGAAAUCCCUGGGGAGCGGUGAAAUGCGUAGAUAUAAGGAAGAACAACAGUGGCGAAGGCGGAUGACUGGACGGCAACUGACGGGGAGGCGCGAAAGCGUGGGUAGCAAACAGGAUUAGAUACCCCGGUAGUC
Molecule: ribosomal RNA, 442 nt
Filed under: uncultured bacterium
Lineage: Bacteria
Description: partial 16S ribosomal RNA
Rfam family: Bacterial small subunit ribosomal RNA
Source: RNAcentral